Molecule: long non-coding RNA, 1726 nt
Organism: Macaca mulatta (Rhesus monkey)
Lineage: Eukaryota; Metazoa; Chordata; Mammalia; Primates; Cercopithecidae
Source: Ensembl
CCUCCAGGGCAGUGCUGUAACUGUUUCUUGCUUCCUGCCCUCUGAAUUUUAGAGGUGGGUAGCCCGGGGCUCCUCCCAGGUCUGAACAUCAUUAUCCCAGCUAGAGGCAUGGAGUUCCCCAAUCACAGGGAAAGAGACAAUGGUAUAAGAGGCUCCUUAGAUUGAAACUGAAUUCCAGCCUCAGCUCCACUGCUCACCAUUGAACUACCUUGCAUCUCCAAGUCUCGGUUUCUUUAACUUCAAAACGAAGUUAGCAUUUUCCUUGCAGAGGUGCUGAGGAUUAAAUGAGAUAAUACGUGGAAACAUUAGGCAUGUAGUGCACUUAGCAGAUGGUGUUUGGCUCCCUCUGCUUUUCCACCAGUCUGUGGCCUACAGUUUAAAUGGUAGGAAAAAGGGUGUGAGAUUUGAGGCUGGGGAAGGAGGCAAGACAAUGGAUGCAGUCACUUAGGCCUGGAGCAAGGGGCCAGGAGCCUGGGCAGGCAACAGCCCCACAGUGCCCUCGCUACCCUACUUAUGGGCCCAGAAUCUAGAAGCCAGCCACCAGCUUCAGGUGGAGUUGAAGAGCCAAGAGGCUCAGACUCUGCAGAGGCUCAGACCAGUACCUGGGUCACCUGCAGCAGUAUGUGGCCGCCUAUCAGCAGCUGACCUCUGAGAAGAAGAUGCUGCACAGACGGUUACUGCUGCAGACCCAGCUCAUGGAUCGGCUGCAGCAACAGGAAGCUCAGGGCAAAACAGUGGCCAAGAUGGUCUGCCAAGAGUUUCAGGAGACCCAGAUGAGGUAGUUACUGAGGGCUGGGCCCUGAGGGGGACAACCUGGCAAUCUCCGUGCCUUCUCACCCUCUUUCCUGGCCCCUUAGGAGCACCUGGAAGCUGCCAGCCAGCAGAACCAGCAGCUACAGGCCCAGUUGAGCCUCAUGGCUCUCCCUGGGGAAGAUACAGGAGACCACUCAGAGGAAGAGGAGAGAGCCCCAGGAGGAAUCGGGGACUGCUGGCAGUGUAGGAGUGAGGAGUUGGAAGAGACCUUUAGAACAGCUGGUCAUUAUGCUUACCAGAUUUGUUCUCGACAAGUUUUCUGGUUCAGACCACAGGCAGAGAGGCCGAGAGGAUGAGAAGGACCAGUUCAGUUUGAGGAAGAUCCUUUUGGUUUGGACAAGUUUUUGGAAGAAGCCAGACAGCUUGGUGGCUCUCAAAGACCCUCAGCAGCAGCCCCAAAGAACAUGAGCAUGAAGGCAAGAAGAGGAGGAAGGAGUAGACACACAUCUCUUCAAAGCAAAUGAACUGUGAUUAUCCAUAACCCUGAUGACGCAAGUGCUAUGGGAUAACACUUUGUGAGUGGUCGGGAUACAAACCAGAUCUGGAUGCUACUUUCUAUUAUUGGAGAAGGUGGGAGUGGGGAGAGGGUGGGGAUAGAAAAUUCUACUUUGAAUUAUUUGGUUUUUUUAAAGAGUGGCUUUUAUUUGUGCUCCUCCCACCUUUCAGCAUUCAUAGAACAUGCUGGCCCACAUCCACAAUCAAGACCACUGCCUUUUGUGUGACACGUAGUUCGCGUUAAUAUUUUGUGUAAGAACAGCUGCUUAUGAGUCAAGUCGCCCCAACCGCAGUGAGGUGGAGAAUGUUCACAUGUUGGAACUGUCCUGCCAAAUAAAUGUGGCCCCUGUUGCGCUGUGUUUUAAUUUGGAGUGGGGAAAAGAAGCUCUUGCUUUGUUUCAAAUAAAAACCUUUAGAC